RNAcentral lists this ribosomal RNA (253 nucleotides) under uncultured bacterium. Its description in RNAcentral is "partial 16S ribosomal RNA". It matches the Rfam family "Bacterial small subunit ribosomal RNA", at positions 524 to 776 of the family's 1533-position model. The record is from RNAcentral.
UACGAAGGGGGCGAGCGUUGUUCGGAUUUACUGGGCGUAGAGGGCGCGCAGGCGGCGAUUUUUGUCAGGCGUGAAAGCCCCGGGCUCAACCUGGGAACUGCGCUUGAAACGGGAUUGCUGGAGAUCGGGAGAGGAGAGUGGAAUUCCCAGUGUAGAGGUGAAAUUCGUAGAUAUUCGGAAGACCACCAGUGGCGAAGGCGGCUUGCCAGAACGCGCUCGACGGUGAGGGAUGAAAGCUGGGGGAGCAAACCGG